Molecule: microRNA precursor, 96 nt
Organism: Nicotiana attenuata
Lineage: Eukaryota; Viridiplantae; Streptophyta; Magnoliopsida; Solanales; Solanaceae
Rfam family: MIR6152 microRNA precursor family
Source: Rfam
UGGGCAGAUUAUUAUAUUCGACUGUAUUCACGGCCUGAAACAGGGGAUUACACUGCUUUUAAACGGAAAGUGAAUCAAUUAACAUAAUAGACUCCU